Molecule: small nuclear RNA, 69 nt
Filed under: Monodelphis domestica (gray short-tailed opossum)
Lineage: Eukaryota; Metazoa; Chordata; Mammalia; Didelphimorphia; Didelphidae
Description: U4 spliceosomal RNA
Rfam family: U4 spliceosomal RNA
About the family: U4 small nuclear RNA (U4 snRNA) is a component of the major U2-dependent spliceosome. The structure of U4 snRNA from yeast and human has been reported. U4 snRNA presents a k-turn RNA motif in the 5p-SL related to recognition of Snu13 protein.
Source: Rfam by way of RNAcentral
AACUUUGCAUAGUGGCAGUAUUGUAGCCAAUGAGGUUUAUCCAAGGUGCCAUUAUUGCUAAUUGAAACA